UAAAAGGCCGCGGUAUUGUGACCGUGCAAAGGUAGCAUAAUCAUUAGUUUUUUAAUUGAAGGCUAGAAUGAACGGUUGGACAAGAAAUAAUCUGUCUUAAUAAAAGAUAUUGAAUUUAACUUUUAAGUGAAAAGGCUUAAAUAAUUUGAGGGGACGAUAAGACCCUAUAAAACUUUAUGUUUAAUAAUAGUAGCUAGUUUUGUUUAAAUUUAUUAUUUUAAAGCAUUUGGUUGGGGUGACAAGGAUAAAAUUAAUAGUAACUGUCUUUUUAUUUUACAAUUAUAUUUGGAGUUAUGAUCCUUAAAAGGAUUAAAGAUUAAGUUACUUUAGGGAUAACAGCGUGAUUUUUUUUAAGAGUUCUUAUCGACAAGAAAGUUUGCGACCUCGAUGUUGAAUUAAAAGUUCGUUGUAGAGUAGAAACUAUGAUAGAAGGUCUGUUCGACCUUUAAAAUUUUACAUGAUUUGAGUUCAGACCGGUGUAAGCCAGGUUGU
This 492-nucleotide ribosomal RNA is filed under the name Cambarellus diminutus. Its description in RNAcentral is "partial 16S ribosomal RNA". It matches the Rfam family "Bacterial large subunit ribosomal RNA", at positions 1924 to 2634 of the family's 2925-position model. The record is from RNAcentral. Lineage: Eukaryota; Metazoa; Arthropoda; Malacostraca; Decapoda; Cambaridae.